RNAcentral lists this transfer RNA (71 nucleotides) under Planctomycetaceae bacterium. RNAcentral's name for it is "tRNA-Cys". It matches the Rfam family "tRNA". From Rfam's summary of the family: Transfer RNA (tRNA) molecules are approximately 80 nucleotides in length. Lineage: Bacteria; Pseudomonadati; Planctomycetota; Planctomycetia; Planctomycetales; Planctomycetaceae. The record is from RNAcentral. RNAcentral also lists the same sequence under 1 other name.
GGCGUCGUGGCCGAAUGGCUAGGCAGCGGAUUGCAAAUCCGUAUAUCCCAGUUCGAUUCUGGGCGGCGCCU